AUUGAACGCUGGCGGCAUGCCUUACACAUGCAAGUCGAACGGCAGCACGGGAGCAAUCCUGGUGGCGAGUGGCGAACGGGUGAGUAAUAUAUCGGAACGUGCCCAGUCGUGGGGAUAACGUAGCGAAAGCUACGCUAAUACCGCAUACGAUCUAUGGAUGAAAGCGGGGGAUCGCAAGACCUCGCGCGAUUGGAGCGGCCGAUAUCAGAUUAGGUAGUUGGUGAGGUAAAGGCUCACCAAGCCGACGAUCUGUAGCUGGUCUGAGAGGACGACCAGCCACACUGGGACUGAGACACGGCCCAGACUCCUACGGGAGGCAGCAGUGGGGAAUUUUGGACAAUGGGCGCAAGCCUGAUCCAGCAAUGCCGCGUGCAGGAUGAAGGCCUUCGGUUGGUAACGUAGCUUUAUACUAGGAAGAAACGAACUACCGACGUGUC
Molecule: ribosomal RNA, 437 nt
Filed under: uncultured bacterium
Lineage: Bacteria
Description: bacterial SSU rRNA
Rfam family: Bacterial small subunit ribosomal RNA
Source: RNAcentral